This 1563-nucleotide long non-coding RNA is filed under the name Anas platyrhynchos platyrhynchos (common mallard). Its description in RNAcentral is "lncRNA (ENSAPLG00000021583.1)". Lineage: Eukaryota; Metazoa; Chordata; Aves; Anseriformes; Anatidae. The record is from RNAcentral.
GGCAGGGGUGUUACUUUUGCAGGGAGUGCAAAAGAAUCAAAUAUGUCAACUGAUGGAACUGUGAGUGUGACUUCAGAAUUGGCUCUGAUAAUAAGGAUUGUGGAGCUACAGUUCUGAAUGCCUCUUUUAACAUGCUUUCCACUUUGUUGACAGAGACUCAGCACAUACACUACAGGCUGGAAGUGACAGAUGGAUGUUAAAUCUUUAAUGGUGGUCUAGUGAGAGAGAAAAAACUUUGGAAAAGGAAGCUCUUGCCUCAAGGUAUUGAAAUGACGAUAUUUAAGAGAUCCACUGAUCUAGACGAAAGCUAAAGCAAAGUUCAAAAUUGGAUGGGAAACAAAAAUUAAAGGGUGGAUCUUUCUAACAUAAAUGACUUGAUAUAAUUGAAGUAUCAUUUAAGGUCAGAGGGGACAAACUAGUCCACAAAGAAUUCACAGGCAAGCAAACAAAAUCAGGGGUGAUAAGAACAUAUGGCAGUAUUUCUAUGGCCAAUAUCUUUACAGAAUAAAUUUCUGUCAAGAGCUGAGUGAUGGGAGCACAUGUGCUGAGAACACUCUAAGAACAGCACUAAGUUCAUAUAUGAACUAUGCAUCUGGUUCUCACAGCUGAUUACCUGGGUGCAACACUAACCUUGUGACAGUACCACUGAAGAUUUUAAAGUCAUCUCCCUGUAUGGAGAAUUAAACUAAUGGUCUAAGGAUCUUGCAGGAUGGGGAAUCCAAUGAAGGUGCUGCUUCCAGCCUGUAUCUUUGAAUGAAGUUUAAUUUGUUUUAUCAAACUUUUCUGUAUAUUACCUGAAAAGGGAUGCCCUUAUGGAAUUCAAUGUGGACUUCAUGGCCACAGAGAAAGAGGAACAGCACUUGAUUUAUGGAAGUCUAGAGAAUCCAUGUCUGUGGGAUUUUGUAUAUUAGUCAAUGCCAUUCUCCUGAGUUCUAACACAAAUGCUCCUUUUUACCACAUGAGGAAUUUAGAGGACUUCCAAACAGCAGAAGACUUAUAAAAUAUCUUCUAAGAAAAAGAACAAAGGAUUCUAAGAGGACUUCGAAAGGGCAGGAGACAAUUCCAGGAAGCCAGGCACAAGUGUAAUUCUUUGAAGAACUAUAAAGUUUACAUACUCAAUGGCUAUGGAAAAUGAUGAGGUUGGAGGCAAGGAACUGCUUGUUUGAAAAUGGAAGCUGACUUCUGGAUUGUCAUCUCCAUCCUCAGAACAGUGAACAGGACAUUCCAGCAAAGGUUUAUUAGACAACAUCUUACGAUAGUGACUUUUGUUUAAAUGUUUGUUGAUUUCAGUUAUCUGAAUUGAAGCUUCUAAGAGCCAACAGAGACCGGUUUCUUCUAAAAAGUUCCAGGUUUUAUUGCUGUCACCAUUUAAUUUGCACAGAGAACUUAGGGUCCAAUUGAUGGUGCUCUGCAGAUGUAACUAAGUCCUGGAAAUCUUAUUGAAAUGUUUGGUAUUUCAACUUCCAGGCCAUUUGCAAGGCAGAAUUGAUUCUUGUACCUAAAUAUGGGUGAGAAUCCAUGCAUGAAUCAGUUUAAUAAAAUUCUUAUGUGAUCAAAUAGUCA